GAUGAACGCUAGCUACAGGCUUAACACAUGCAAGUCGAGGGGAAAUGACAUCGAAAGCUUGCUUUUGAUGGGCGUCGACCGGCGCACGGGUGAGUAACGCGUAUCCAACCUGCCCAUCACUUGGGGAUAACCUUGCGAAAGUAAGACUAAUACCCAAUGAUAUCUCUAGAAGACAUCUGAAAGAGAUUAAAGAUUUAUCGGUGAUGGAUGGGGAUGCGUCUGAUUAGCUUGUUGGCGGGGUAACGGCCCACCAAGGCAACGAUCAGUAGGGGUUCUGAGAGGAAGGGCCCCCAAAAUGGAACUGAGAACCGGUCCAAACUCCUACGGGAGGAAGCAGGGAGGAAAAUUGGGCAAUGGGCGAGGGCCUGAACCAGCCAAGUAGCGUGCAGGAAGACGGGCCUAUGGGUUGUAAACUGCUUUUAUAAGGGAAUAAAGUGAGAGUCGUGACUCUUUUUGUAUGGACCUUAUGAAUAAGGACCGGCUAAUUCCGUG
Molecule: ribosomal RNA, 492 nt
Filed under: uncultured bacterium
Lineage: Bacteria
Description: partial 16S ribosomal RNA
Rfam family: Bacterial small subunit ribosomal RNA
Source: RNAcentral